AAUGUGGCAUCCUUUGGAUGUGUUAUAACCUUUGUUCGCAUACAUUAGUUGGGAUUGAGGAACUCAGCACGCCGAAAGGCCGGGUUAUUAACCACGUACGUGCUUAGGAUGCUGGCAUAAUGGCUUUAAUCGA
RNAcentral lists this ribosomal RNA (133 nucleotides) under Laccaria sp. RNAcentral's name for it is "partial large subunit ribosomal RNA". Lineage: Eukaryota; Fungi; Basidiomycota; Agaricomycetes; Agaricales; Hydnangiaceae. The record is from RNAcentral.